RNAcentral lists this ribosomal RNA (402 nucleotides) under uncultured bacterium. Its description in RNAcentral is "bacterial SSU rRNA". It matches the Rfam family "Bacterial small subunit ribosomal RNA", at positions 28 to 431 of the family's 1533-position model. The record is from RNAcentral.
GACGAACGCUGGCGGCGUGCUUAACACAUGCAAGUCGAGCGGUAAGGCCCUUUCGGGGGUACACGAGCGGCGAACGGGUGAGUAACACGUGGGUGACCUGCCCUCAGCUCUGGGAUAAGCCUGGGAAACCGGGUCUAAUACCGGAUAUGACUCCAUGACGCAUGUUGUGGGGUGGAAAGCCUUGUGCGGCUGAGGAUGGGCCCGCGGCCUAUCAGCUUGUUGGUGGGGUGAUGGCCUACCAAGGCGACGAUCGGUAGCUGGUCUGAGAGGACGACCAGCCACACUGGGACUGAGACACGGCCCAGACUCCUACGGGAGGCAGCAGUGGGGAACAUUGGACAAUGGGCGAAAGCCUGAUCCAGCGAUGCCGCGUGUGUGAAGAAGGCCUGCGGGUUGUAAAGC